This 481-nucleotide ribosomal RNA is filed under the name uncultured bacterium. RNAcentral's name for it is "partial 16S ribosomal RNA". It matches the Rfam family "Bacterial small subunit ribosomal RNA", at positions 28 to 523 of the family's 1533-position model. The record is from RNAcentral.
GACGAACGCUGGCGGCGUGCUUAACACACGCAAGUCGAACGCUGAAGCCCUUUCGGGGGUGGAUGAGUGGCGAACGGGUGAGUAACACGUGGGUAAUCUGCCCUGCACUCUGGGAUAAGCCUUGGAAACGGGGUCUAAUACCGGAUAGGACACAUCGCCGCAUGGUGUGUGUGUGGAAAGUUCCGGCGGUGCAGGGUGAGCCCGCGGCCUAUCAGCUUGUUGGUGGGGUGAUGGCCUACCAAGGCGACGACGGGUAGCCGGCCUGAGAGGGUGACCGGCCACACUGGGACUGAGACACGGCCCAGACUCCUACGGGAGGCAGCAGUGGGGAAUCUUGCGCAAUGGGCGAAAGCCUGACGCAGCAACGCCGCGUGGGGGAUGACGGCCUUCGGGUUGUAAACCUCUUUCGACCGGGACGAAGGGUGACUGACGGUACCGGUAGAAGAAGCACCGGCUAACUCUGUGCCAGCCGCCGCAGUAA